Long non-coding RNA from Heterocephalus glaber (naked mole-rat), 609 nucleotides. The record is from Ensembl. NCBI's taxonomy places the organism in Eukaryota, Metazoa, Chordata, Mammalia, Rodentia, Bathyergidae.
AUUCCUGGCCGCGGAGCGCUGGGCGGAGGUCCAGGUGGCGACUCCCAGAGCAGCCCAGCUCCCGUCUCGCCACCCCCACCCUGCCCCAGCUAGGGGAAGAAGAUCCCGGACAGCACUGUCGAGCCCUGCCAGAUCAGAAAAAUAAAUAAAAAUAGACGUAGUGCAGGAGCGAGUUACAAGAAAGGAUUUGGUCAUCGAUUUUCUUAAAUGGAAAAGUUCUAAAGGAGGCGGCUGCCCUUCCCCUCCCCUCUCCAUCUUACCCUAGGCGAUAUAAAAUCAAAGCCCUGGAAAACAACUAUGUACUCAGCUUCCAAGGAAAACUUUCCAAGACAACCACCCUUCAGGACCAGGGAUCGAAUUCAGGACCCUGCACUUGCAAGGCAGACAUGGUGCCACUGAGCUAAAUCCAUGUCCCUAUCUGAAACUUCUAUAAAAUAAGUGUCAUUCUGAUGUCACAAAUGAGGAAAUUGGAUUUCAGAGAGUAUAAGAGAUUGCCUGAACUGAGAUAGCUGGAAGGUAUGAGGAGCUUGGCACCCUGGAGGAGUCCACAUGGGGAUUUGAGGUGAUAAGAGGAGCUCCUGGAUUUGCUCUCUUCUGUGAGCAUAAAUG